AUUGAACGCUGGCGGCAUGCUUUACACAUGCAAGUCGGACGAGUGGCGAACGGGUGAGUAACGCAUCGGAACGUACCGAGUAAUGGGGGAUAACUGCCGGAAAGGCAGGUUAAUACCGAAUAUUAUCGGGGCGGCCGAUGUCGGAUUAGCGGGUUGGCGGGGUAAAGGCCCACCAAGGCGACGAUCAGUAGCGGGUCUGAGAGGAUGAUCCGCCACACUGGGACUGAGACACGGCCCAGACUCCUACGGGAGGCAGCAGUGGGGAAUUUUGGACAAUGGGCGCAAGCCUGAUCCAGCCAUGUCGCGUGUCUGAAGAAGGCCUUCGGGUUGUAAAGGACUUUUGUCAGGGAAGCGGUACCUGAAGAAUAAGCACCGGCUAACUACGUGCCAGCAGCCGCGGUAAUUC
Molecule: ribosomal RNA, 406 nt
Filed under: uncultured bacterium
Lineage: Bacteria
Description: partial 16S ribosomal RNA
Rfam family: Bacterial small subunit ribosomal RNA
Source: RNAcentral